CAAUCCAUUCUGCUGAGAGUGUGAGUACCGGGAAAGCAUGGCAUUGGGCUUGAAGGAUGAGGAGUUUGCUAGACACAGAGGAUGAGGAGAGCAGCCCUGCAGUAAACUUCCAGCCACCUGAAUGAAAUUCACCUAAUUUAACAAACUGCACGAGAAGCAAAGCAACUCCCAGAGCACACACAGCAAACAACGUUCUAAGAAUUUUACAUGUAUUGACUUAUGGAAGCCUGACAACAUCACUGUGAUGUAAGUGCUAUUGUUAUUUACAUUUUAUGGAUGAGGACAAGGAGACACUGAACAAAGUAUUUGCCCUGGAUCACCAGGAUUUGGGCAAAGGUACGCUCUUAGACCUUUUUCCCUGCCUUAUGCCCAUUACAAGGUACCUUGAAUGAAAAAAUACACAAGAACAUUGCAUGGA
This 418-nucleotide small RNA is filed under the name Pongo abelii (Sumatran orangutan). Its description in RNAcentral is "processed transcript". Lineage: Eukaryota; Metazoa; Chordata; Mammalia; Primates; Hominidae. The record is from RNAcentral.